This 220-nucleotide unclassified non-coding RNA is filed under the name uncultured Tomentella. RNAcentral describes it as "sequence contains ITS2". Lineage: Eukaryota; Fungi; Basidiomycota; Agaricomycetes; Thelephorales; Thelephoraceae. The record is from RNAcentral.
ACACCUCAACUCUCACGGUUCGCCGUGACGAGCUUGGACUUUGGGGGACUUGCUGGCCUACGGUCGGCUCCCCUCAAAUGGAUCAGCUUUCCAGUGUUUGGCGGCGUCACAGGUGUGAUAAAUAUCUACGCUUGUGGUUUUCCACCAGGUAACCUUCAGUGAUGGGGGUUCGCUGGGGCUCAUAAACGUGUCUCUCCUCGGUGAAGACAGCUUUGUGAAC